CGUGCCCUGAGGUACGGAAUAACUGAGGGAAAACUUCAGCUAAUACCGUAUGAGCCCCGAGAGGGGGAAAGAUUUAUCGCCUUGGGAGCGGCCCGCGUCGGAUUAGCUAGUUGUGGGGUAACGGCCUACCAAGGCUUCGAUCCGUAGCUGGUCUGAGAGGACGAUCAGCCACACUGGGACUGAGACACGGCCCAGACUCCUACGGGAGGCAGCAGUGGGGAAUCUUGCGCAAGUGGGGCCAACCCUGACGCAGCCAUGCCGCGUGAACGAUGAAGGCCUUAGGGUUGUAAAGUUCUUUACCCGUGACGAUGAUGACGGUAACGGGGAAUAAGCUCCGGCUAACUUCGUG
RNAcentral lists this ribosomal RNA (349 nucleotides) under uncultured bacterium. Its description in RNAcentral is "bacterial SSU rRNA". It matches the Rfam family "Bacterial small subunit ribosomal RNA", at positions 125 to 507 of the family's 1533-position model. The record is from RNAcentral.